AACGAACGCUGGCGGCAGGCCUAACACAUGCAAGUCGAGCGGAGUAGCAAUACUCAGCGGCAGACGGGUGAGUAACACGUGGGAACCUUCCUUAUAGUAAAGAAUAGCCCAGGGAAACUUGGAUUAAUACUUUAUACGCCCUACGGGGGAAAGAUUUAUCGCUAUAAGAUGGGCCCGCGUUAGAUUAGCUAGUUGGUGAG
Molecule: ribosomal RNA, 200 nt
Filed under: uncultured bacterium
Lineage: Bacteria
Description: partial 16S ribosomal RNA
Rfam family: Bacterial small subunit ribosomal RNA
Source: RNAcentral